AGGAAACUUCAGGGAAGAUUGUUGAUAUGGAAUCCACUGAGGGGACCCCUGAGGAAGUUCAGCUGAAUGAUGAAGAAAAGAAUUACCUGAAACAGCUGGUCAAAAUCAACCAGUAUCAACAGAAGUUCACCUUCCCCCACUAUUUCCAGGCUGUUCAUCCACAGCAGAUAGCUCUGAACCCUUGGAAUCGCCUUAAGGAAAAUACUUACCCAUUCAUUCUCACUUUGGCUUGACUGGAAAAAUCAUUUCUAUAUAGUUUCUUCAUCUAUCAUAUCACCUCAUACCAAUAUGUUGACUGCUUCUUGAAAGGGCAACACUCCUGAGCCAAAGGAAGAUUGUGUAACACUGUUUGUAUUCCUCCUUUCGGUUCAUGUUGGAUAUGCUAGAUCUGGAUUGCGGUAUCAUUUUAACUGUAUCGACCGAUUAACUGAACUCUGCAGCAUGAUGGCUGAGUCACAGAACCCCACAUCUCUUGCCAAAACAUUAAAA
Long non-coding RNA from Felis catus (domestic cat), 489 nucleotides. RefSeq lists it as uncharacterized. Lineage: Eukaryota; Metazoa; Chordata; Mammalia; Carnivora; Felidae. The transcript is spliced from 5 exons. The record is from RefSeq and is a predicted model, not a curated record.